Molecule: transfer RNA, 53 nt
Filed under: Podarcis lilfordi (Lilford's wall lizard)
Lineage: Eukaryota; Metazoa; Chordata; Lepidosauria; Squamata; Lacertidae
Description: tRNA.Undet
Source: RNAcentral
GCAGCUCAACCGGUAGAGCAUGAGGGUUGUGGGUUCAAGCCCCACGUGGUGUA